GAUGAACGCUGGCGGCGUGCCUAAUACAUGCAAGUCGAGCGAACAGACGAGGAGCUUACUCCUCUGACGUUAGCGGCGGACGGGUGAGUAACACGUGGAUAACCUACCUAUAAGACUGGGAUAACUUCGGGAAACCGGAGCUAAUACCGGAUAACAUGUUGAACCGCAUGGUUCAACAGUGAAAGACGGUCUUGCUGUCACUUAUAGAUGGAUCCGCGUCGCAUUAGCUAGUUGGUAAGGUAACGGCUUACCAAGGCAACGAUGCGUAGCCGACCUGAGAGGGUGAUCGGCCACACUGGAACUGAGACACGGUCCAGACUCCUACGGGAGGCAGCAGUAGGGAAUCUUCCGCAAUGGGCGAAAGCCUGACGGAGCAACGCCGCGUGAGUGAAGAAGGUCUUCGGAUCGUAAAACUCUGUUAUUAGGGAAGAACAAAUGUGUAAGUAACUAUGCACGUCUUGACGGUACCUAAUCAGAAAGCCACGGCUAACUACGUGCCAGCAGCCGCGGUAAUACGUAGGUGGCAAGCGUUAUCCGGAAUUAUUGGGCGUAAAGCGCGCGUAGGCGGUUUUUUAAGUCUGAUGUGAAAGCCCACGGCCCAACCGUGGAGGAUCAUUGGAAACUGGAAAACUUGAGUGCAGAAGAGGAAAGUGGAAUUCCAUGUGUAGCGGUGAAAUGCGCAGAGAUAUGGAGGAACACCAGUGGCGAAGGCGACUUUCUGGUCUGUAACUGACGCUGAUGUGCGAAAGCGUGGGGAUCAAACAGGAUUAGAUACCCUGGUAGUCCACGCCGUAAACGAUGAGUGCUAAGUGUUAGGGGGUUUCCGCCCCUUAGUGCUGCAGCUAACGCAUUAAGCACUCCGCCUGGGGAGUACGAUCGCAAGGUUGAAACUCAAAGGAAUUGACGGGGACCCGCACAAGCGGCGGAGCAUGUGGUUUAAUUCGAAGCAACGCGAAGAACCUUACCAAAUCUUGACAUCCUCUGACCCCUCUAGAGAUAGAGUUUUCCCCUUCGGGGGACAGAGUGACAGGUGGUGCAUGGUUGUCGUCAGCUCGUGUCGUGAGAUGUUGGGUUAAGUCCCGCAACGAGCGCAACCCUUAAGCUUAGUUGCCAUCAUUAAGUUGGGCACUCUAAGUUGACUGCCGGUGACAAACCGGAGGAAGGUGGGGAUGACGUCAAAUCAUCAUGCCCCUUAUGAUUUGGGCUACACACGUGCUACAAUGGACAAUACAAAGGGUAGCGAAACCGCGAGGUCAAGCAAAUCCCAUAAAGUUGUUCUCAGUUCGGAUUGUAGUCUGCAACUCGACUACAUGAAGCUGGAAUCGCUAGUAAUCGUAGAUCAGCAUGCUACGGUGAAUACGUUCCCGGGUCU
This 1372-nucleotide ribosomal RNA is filed under the name uncultured bacterium. RNAcentral describes it as "bacterial SSU rRNA". It matches the Rfam family "Bacterial small subunit ribosomal RNA", at positions 28 to 1381 of the family's 1533-position model. The record is from RNAcentral.